RNAcentral lists this non-coding RNA (97 nucleotides) under unclassified sequences. Its description in RNAcentral is "skipping-rope RNA". It matches the Rfam family "skipping-rope RNA". From Rfam's summary of the family: Firmicutes, Fusobacteria, AlphaProteobacteria, Spirochaetes. Downstream gene The record is from Rfam by way of RNAcentral.
GGGCUUUGAGGUGGUAAAAUUCGUUGCGACCACACGCCGAUGGUAUGACAGGGGGAAACCCCGAGAGAUGCGGGAGAUGCGACGCCCGCCAAAGCCC